RNAcentral lists this ribosomal RNA (255 nucleotides) under uncultured bacterium. Its description in RNAcentral is "partial 16S ribosomal RNA". It matches the Rfam family "Bacterial small subunit ribosomal RNA", at positions 524 to 776 of the family's 1533-position model. The record is from RNAcentral.
UACGAAGGGGGGCUAGCGUUGUUCGGAAUUACUGGGCGUAAAGCGUGCGCAGGCGGCUUCUCAAGUCAGGGGUGAAAGCCCAGAGCUCAACUCUGGAAUUGCCUUUGAGACUGAGUGGCUUGAGUACGAGAGAGGUGAGUGGAAUUCCCAGUGUAGAGGUGAAAUUCGUAGAUAUUGGGAAGAACACCGGUGGCGAAGGCGGCUCACUGGCUCGUAACUGACGCUCAUGCACGACAGCGUGGGGGAUCAAACAGG